CUCCCCAAAAACUCUUGUUACAAUAAUUGCAUACAAGAUGUAAUUGAUUUCCAUUGCCUCCUUUGCCAUCAUUAAAUUUUUUACAAUGAUUCCAAGUAGGAUCCAUGACUUUAAAUUUUUUUCUUGGUGCCAUUAUUCAAUAAAAUAAUAAUACACAAUUCCACUAUAAAGUAUGUAAGUUAAUCCCUGUUAAAAAAAUAAAAAUUGUUAAAAAAAUUACUUAAAAAAAAUUUAAUCUUUCUGUUAUGUUUAUUAUUAUCUUUAUUUAUUUAUUUUUUUGGAUGAGGAUUUAAGUGGAAAAGUACUUAUCUAAAGAAGGUGAGAACAUCAUUUUAAGUGACUAUUACUUGUUGGUGGCAACGAAACCAGAGCGGGACCUCUCCAGUUCCCCUCUCACCUCUUGGUUUCGAAGCUUCGAGAAGUCCAACUUAAAAAAAAAAAGGAAGAGGGACCAUAGCCCAGAGAGAGCUUCGAUCUGAUCGGAGAAAAAAAAGGGUUCGCAGGCGGUAUUGGGGAAGAGAAAUAGAGAGUUUCGGGUGGCUUUGGGGAAGAGAAACAGAGGGCUUCGGACGGCUUCGGGGAAGAAAAACAGGAAAAAAACAGAGGGAUAGGGAAGUAGGCUUCGGUCCGAUAUUAAAAAAAAAGAG
This 647-nucleotide long non-coding RNA is filed under the name Elaeis guineensis (African oil palm). RNAcentral describes it as "long non-coding RNA (EGUI_LNC006445)". Lineage: Eukaryota; Viridiplantae; Streptophyta; Magnoliopsida; Arecales; Arecaceae. The record is from RNAcentral.